Non-coding RNA from Acanthosepion pharaonis, 111 nucleotides. Lineage: Eukaryota; Metazoa; Mollusca; Cephalopoda; Sepiida; Sepiidae. The record is from the annotation of a GenBank genome assembly.
ACGACCACAUAGCAUUGAAACACCUGCUCCCGUACGAUCACUGAAGUUAAGAAAGUAGAGCCUGUUUAGUAUCUAGAUGAGUGAUCGCUUGAGAAUAACAAGUGCUGUAAG